Coprinopsis sp. MPI-PUGE-AT-0042 is the source of this 118-nucleotide non-coding RNA. The record is from the annotation of a GenBank genome assembly. Lineage: Eukaryota; Fungi; Basidiomycota; Agaricomycetes; Agaricales; Psathyrellaceae.
GGCCUGAUGGUCUAGUAGCAUGAUUCCUUGUUAGAGUUCCCUCCGGGCGCUUAUUUCUGAGCGCUUGUUUGGUGUCACUGUUUCGAGGAGGUCCCGGGCUCAAUUCCCGGUCAGGCCC